AGGACGAACGCUGGCGGCGUGCUUAACACAUGCAAGUCGAGCGGAAAGGCCACUUCGGUGGUACUCGAGCGGCGAACGGGUGAGUAACACGUGAGUAAUCUGCCCUUGGCUUUGGGAUAGCCACCGGAAACGGUGAUUAAUACCGGAUAUGACCACUUCACGCAUGUGUGGUGGUGGAAAGUUUUUCGGCCAGGGAUGUGCUCGCGGCCUAUCAGCUUGAUGGUGAGGUAAUGGCUCACCAUGGCUUCGACGGGUAGCCGGCCUGAGAGGGUGACCGGUCACACUGGGACUGAGACACGGCCCAGACUCCUACGGGAGGCAGCAGUGGGGAAUAUUGGACAAUGGGCGGAAGCCUGAUCCAGCAACGCCGCGUGAGGGAUGACGGCCUUCGGGUUGUAAACCUCUUUCGGUGGGGACGAAGCGCAAGUGACGGUACCCACUAAAGAAGCACCGGCCAACUACGUGCCAGCAGCCGCGGUAAUACGUAGGGUGCGAGCGUUGUCCGGAAUUAUUGGGCGUAAAGGGCUCGUAGGCGGUUUGUCGCGUCGGGAGUGAAAACCAGGUGCUUAACACCUGGCUUGCUUUCGAUACGGGCAGACUAGAGGUAUUCAGGGGAGAAUGGAAUUCCUGGUGUAGCGGUGAAAUGCGCAGAUAUCAGGAGGAACACCGGUGGCGAAGGCGGUUCUCUGGGAAUGACCUGACGCUGAGGAGCGAAAGUGUGGGGAGCGAACAGGAUUAGAUACCCUGGUAGUCCACACCG
Molecule: ribosomal RNA, 760 nt
Filed under: Nocardioidaceae bacterium
Lineage: Bacteria; Bacillati; Actinomycetota; Actinomycetes; Propionibacteriales; Nocardioidaceae
Description: bacterial SSU rRNA
Rfam family: Bacterial small subunit ribosomal RNA
Source: RNAcentral